GGCUGAACCAGCAACUUGGAGGAAUGUAUAGGGAAAACUGGUAAAAUGUGAUGUACCUAAUAGUAUUAGUGAUUAAUAUGAAAUUAACUAAGUUAAUUAAAAUUCGGAGUAGAUAUGUGAUUAUGACAAUAUUUGCUUAUUUCUUGACCAAGUCACGUGCCAGCAGUCGCGGUAAUACGUGGUAGAUCAGUGUUAUUCAUCUUUAAUAGGUUUAAAGGGUACCUAGACGGUUAAUUAAGCAUAUUUGUGUACUAAUUAUUAACUAGAGUUUAAUGUAAGAAGGAUUGAGUACGGUGAGUGUAGAGAUAAAAUUCUGUCAUACCACUUAGGAACUGGUAAAGGCGAAGGCAACCUUUUAUGUAAAAACUGACGUUAAGGGACGAAGGCUCGUAUUAAGUAAUAGGAUUAGAGACCCUAGUAUUGUGGGCAGACAAUGAUGAGUGUCAUAUGCAAGAAAAUUUUUGUGUAUAAAUGAAAGUGUAAGCACUCCACCUCAAGAGUAACGUGGCAACAUGGGAACUGAAAUCAUUAGACCGUUUCUGAAACUCGUAGUGAAGUAUGUUGUUUAAUUUGAUAAUCCACAAAUAACCUUACCACAAUUUGAAUUACUGGUGAAUAUUAGUAACAAGCGUUGCACGGCUGUCUUCAGUUAAUGUUGUGAAACUUUGGUUAGAUCCAUUAAAUUGACGUAAACCCUUGCUUUAUUUGUUAUAAAGCAGUUCGCCGCUAUAUUGGUAGUGAUAGAAGGGACUAAGACAAGUCAUCAU
Molecule: ribosomal RNA, 767 nt
Filed under: Thecaria sp. RivasPlata 1025C
Lineage: Eukaryota; Fungi; Ascomycota; Lecanoromycetes; Ostropales; Graphidaceae
Description: SSU rRNA
Rfam family: Bacterial small subunit ribosomal RNA
Source: RNAcentral